GCUUAUGUUUGGAGGUAAUAAUUCUCACCCUUCAUUUUAUUGAGUGAGUCCAAGUUAUAGCUAUGCUAUAUAAGCAAGAAUACGAAUAGACGGCUGGAAAAAUCGUAUUUGGAUAGUUACGUGAUGUUGGGCUGUUUUGAAGUAUUUUCUGAUAUUGUUGUUGCUGGAAUUUUUUUGGAAAUGCUUUGUAUGUGUGUGGUUCUUGUUGAUAUGAGUCUCGAAGAGAAGAAGAAGUAUAGAUGGA
Molecule: long non-coding RNA, 244 nt
Filed under: Solanum tuberosum (potato)
Lineage: Eukaryota; Viridiplantae; Streptophyta; Magnoliopsida; Solanales; Solanaceae
Description: long non-coding RNA (STUB_LNC001911)
Source: RNAcentral